GUUUAGUCUGAGUAAAUAGGCAGGAUAAUGCUCUUGGUAAGAACGUAAAGCAUUAGCUUUGGGAAAAAGAAGAUUUACUAUUUUCCACUCACUGAUCCAUCAAGGAAGACUCUACUCCAAGGCUCUGCUCCUUGUUCAUCUAUGAAACAAAUUACAAGAGAGAAUAUGGAGUGGACAACGGAUGCACCCAGAUCAGUAGCUAAUAAUGUCUAAGUCAGUGCCCUGGAGCCAAUCUGUUCCUCCUCUCCCCACCCCCAUAAAUAAAGGCAAUGCAAUUUCCAUCACUUUGAAAGUCCCUUUUAAAUUCUCACUUGAGAAUUACUGAGUUAGUGCAAAAUGCAUACCCUAACAAAACAAAACGAAAUAAAGCAAAACAAAAC
Molecule: long non-coding RNA, 380 nt
Filed under: Homo sapiens (human)
Lineage: Eukaryota; Metazoa; Chordata; Mammalia; Primates; Hominidae
Description: HSALNT0121740
Source: RNAcentral